AAAAAGAUAAGCUAAUUAAGCUAAUAGGUUCAUACCCUAUUUAUGAAGGUCCGCAGCCCCUCUCUUUUUA
Molecule: transfer RNA, 70 nt
Filed under: Mordellochroa milleri
Lineage: Eukaryota; Metazoa; Arthropoda; Insecta; Coleoptera; Mordellidae
Description: tRNA-Met
Source: RNAcentral